UUCUAAAAAAUAACGAUAUUUUGUUUCGGCCAAAAUUAGGGAAGUUUUCCUUUAGAAU
Molecule: transfer RNA, 58 nt
Filed under: Phyllodiaptomus tunguidus
Lineage: Eukaryota; Metazoa; Arthropoda; Copepoda; Calanoida; Diaptomidae
Description: tRNA-Arg
Source: RNAcentral